ACGGAGGGUGCAAGCGUUAUCCGGAUUCAUUGGGUUUAAAGGGUGCGUAGGCGGAACGUUAAGUCAGUGGUGAAAUCCUGCAGCUCAACUGUAGACUUGCCAUUGAUACUGGCGUUCUUGAGUGCGCUUGAAGUAGGCGGAAUGUGUCGUGUAGCGGUGAAAUGCUUAGAUAUGACACAGAACACCAAUUGCGAAGGCAGCUUACUAAGGCGAUACUGACGCUGAGGCACGAAAGCGUGGGGAUCAAACAGG
RNAcentral lists this ribosomal RNA (252 nucleotides) under uncultured bacterium. RNAcentral's name for it is "partial 16S ribosomal RNA". It matches the Rfam family "Bacterial small subunit ribosomal RNA", at positions 525 to 776 of the family's 1533-position model. The record is from RNAcentral.